AUGGCGCCGCCGCAGCCAGCGCCACCGCCGGAGACGCCGAUCUUCCGAACCCCAGACGAGCUCCUCCACGACAUCUUCCUCCGUCUCCCCACUGCUGCCGACCUAGCCCGCGCCUCCGCGGCGUGCCCCUCCUUUCGCCGUCUCAUCACCGACCACGCCUUCCUCCGUCGCUACCGCGCCCUCCACCCGCCGCCUCUCAUCGGCGCGUUCGACGACACCGCCUUCAUCCCGGCCCAGCCGCCGCACCCCUCCGCCGUGGCUGCCCGCGCCUUCGCCGGCUUCGACUUCUCCUGCUCCUCCUUCCUCCCCUCCACCGCCAGCCUUACCUGGAGCGCGAUUGACUUCUUGGACGGACGCGCCCUCCUCGCCGGCGCCCCAGUCCCACGCAAACGCGGCAGCUCUCAUCUGCGCAACCUCCAGUACCGCUAUUUUUCGGCCAGGGAGCUCGCCGUGUGCGACCCCGUGCACCGCCGCUACAUCCUGCUUCCCGCCGUCCCCGGCGACCUGAAAGCGCUGGUCAGUGAACCGGACCUCCUCCAUCUGGAGACUUUCCUUGCUCCCGGCGAGGAUGAGGAGGAACCGUUAUCAUUCAGGGUCAUGUGCUUGGUGCAAUGCAGAACGGAUAUGGUGCUUCUCGUCUUCUCCUCGUUGGAUGGGCAAUGGCAUUCUCUUGCAUUUGAUCUGUGGAGUGCUGCGUCUGAUCCACUUAAACACCCCAAGGAUGGGCUCUCUCAGAUCGUCAGUUCGUCCACGGAUGCUUCUGUUGGCAUUUCCCCCUCCUGA
This 783-nucleotide ribosomal RNA is filed under the name Triticum aestivum (bread wheat). RNAcentral describes it as "partial small subunit ribosomal RNA". Lineage: Eukaryota; Viridiplantae; Streptophyta; Magnoliopsida; Poales; Poaceae. The record is from RNAcentral.